This 2921-nucleotide long non-coding RNA is filed under the name Phaseolus vulgaris (common bean). RNAcentral's name for it is "long non-coding RNA (PVUL_LNC000328)". Lineage: Eukaryota; Viridiplantae; Streptophyta; Magnoliopsida; Fabales; Fabaceae. The record is from RNAcentral.
UCCACUUGAUCCCAUAAUAUUCUGACUUGAUGAUGCAUCACCACUUCCAACAUCCGGUGCCUGGACUAAAUUAAAAUAUGCUUAGAGUUAAUUAAUAAUUUUUGAAAAAUAAAUGAAAACAAUAUUAUAUUAUGAAAUUCAAGGUAUAAUAUGAGAGAGAAAAAUUAUAUGAAGGCAAUAAAAUUGAAUUAAGGCAGCUAAUAAAAAUCAACAAUUAUAAAUCAAUUAUAAUUUUAGGAUUUACUUUUAGAUUCAUGAGAACUGCAACUGUCUAAAUAAUAAAACAAUAACCAAAUUAAUAUAUCAAUAAUAUAGAUAUUUAAAUAGAAAGAGUUUGAACAUCAAAGGUCAAUAGGGAUGAUAUAUACCAUGUACAUCACACCACUAUGCUUCCCUUCCCUAGACCGUACAAGGGACCAAUAUCAAAUAAAGAGACUUAAGAUCAUGACUAUGGUUGGAUGUGUAAAUUAUAUUUAAUAGAGAAAUAUAAGCAUUACAUGCUAGACCAUGUCAUUCAAAAUUCAUAAUCCAGUAAUAAAAAUAGAAACUCAAAAAUUACUAAUGGUUGCAAAAUCAAUCUAAUGGUAUUCCAUGGAAGAAACCAUUAAUGUUAUUCUAAUGGUUGCAAAAAUUACUAAAUCUUGUAUGCCAUGGAAGAAACAAUUAAUGUAUCAAAUCAUGAUUCAACUCCUAAAAUACUUUAUGAAUAAUAAAUUGUAAUAUUCACCAAUGACAUAAAAUUAGCAAUAUUAAUAGUUUUAGAGUAUGAAUUAAAAAAGAAGCUAAAAAGAGAAAACAUGUGAAAGGCAAUGGCUGUUGCAAGACCACAUAUACCAGCUCCCACAAUCACAAUAUCCGCAUCAACAUUUUUAUCCAUCUUCUCCCAUUUCCUUCCUAUUUAAGAUAUUUAAUUAAGCCUAACAUUUAAACUACUUAAAAUAUUGUUCAUAAAGUAUAACAUUAUAAUUUUUUUAGAAAUGAAUUAUCAAAAAAGAAAGUGUUUAGCCACAUAAUUUUGGCUCCAGCUCAAGCUACUUCCAACCUAAACCAUGCAGCAAAAGAAAACAACCAAAAAAUGAAAAUAAACUAAGAAUUGACCAUCACUGAUCUCCAACAAAAAUUCUCAUUUCCAAAAAAUUCUAAAGCAACAGAUAUGGAAGAAGUAAUAAAAUAAAGGUUUUUCUAAUAAGUGUCAUAGGAGUACUAAGGUUUUAUGGCACUCCUUAGCAAACCAAACCCCAUAAAAUGAAUCAGGUAUUCUACCUAGAAUUUGGAAAGUAAAAGCCUAGACAUUUAGCAAACCACAUUGAUUUGAGCUUAGGAGAAAAGAUACUUCAAUGGGCAAACAUUGGAUGGUUGAUCGAUCAUGACAUCCUCUGGCUCUGUCAUAUCCUCAGGCUAUCCUUUCCACUUCUUGUAAAUGCUAAGGGCCUCAACCAUGCCUCCCUUAACAUCACACAAAGUUAACUUAUGUGCAAAUUUUAUCAUUGCAUACCAAAUCAAUCUCACGUGUAGAACUAAAACUCCCAAUAUAUAGCAAAUUAAACCAUCAAACAUAUACACAUUUAGUUUAGAUUAUAUAUAUGAUAUAUCUCAAGAUAUAUGAAUGCAAGAGAUUAAUAUUUUUUUUACCACCAAAAUCUAGAAAUGGAAACUUAAUCACAAACUUAAAAUAUAUAUACACAGAAACACAACACGUUGCAUGCACACUCUAUGAAAAACUUGAUAAAGAUUAGGAUUAAUUUUUCACAUACCUUUCAAUGCAGAAGAAGCGAAGCAUCUCCUUCCCCAUCUUUUUGAAUCAAUUGUACCUUUGUGCCAUAAAUUCCACAACCAUCAACCCCCUCCAUUCACCAUAUGUGGCCCCCUCCUGACCCUUAGCACCGUUUGAGAAGAUGAACAGUAGAGUUUGCUAAUCACAGGCAUCAUGCUCAUCUUCCAACUCUGGUGGACUCAACAAUGAUAUUAGCUUCAUUCUCAUUCCCAUGGGAUCUCCUCAGGGUUCCUUGGGAUUAACAAAAGAUUUAAUGACAUUGUUCAUGAAGAAACGAACACUUACAACAUAAAUAUGCAGGGAAAAACAAUGGAACACAUGAAAAAGGGUGAAAAAUAUACCUGUGUCAAAAAAAGUGUAAAUCAUGAUGCUCAGAGUCCUUGUUGGUGACAUCGUGAUGCUUACAAUGUCCCUAUUUCUCAUUAGAACACCACAAAUAAUAAAGAGAUGGCAGAAGAAAAAACGAAAUAUGAAACCAAAAACAUCGAAACUUUUCCUUCGUGGAAUAUCCUUACCAUACAAACCACACAACUUCAGAGAAAAAAAAUGCCAAUGGGUUCUUACCUUAAGAGCGAGGUGCUCAUUGCCAAAGGUCGUGAUGAUGAGAUUAAAUAUAGAGGGUUUGGAAAUGAAGAACAAAAGAAUUGAUGGUGAGGGUUUCGAAAUUAGGAACUUCAAAAUUAUAUUCAGAAGAAAAUACACACAAAAGCAUAACUUUGCCAAAAAAAAAAUGAUCGUUCCACGCACCUGUUGCAACAACGAACCAACGAUUGCGGCGAUAAUGGCGGCCAAACAUUGUGAGAAGAGUGAGAAGGGUGAUAUGGUUUGCGGUGAGACUGAGAACAGUGAGAGUGAGAACGUUAGCGGUGAGAUUGAGAAAAAAGGUUUCAGUGAGAAUGAGAAGAGGGUUUGCGGUGAGAUUAAGAAGAAGGAUUUCAAUGAGAAUGAGAAGAGGGUUUGCGGUGAGAAUGUGAAGGUUUUUCGGUGAGAGUGAGAAGAGAAGGGUUGCGGUGAUAAGAGAAGGAGAAUAGAACGAGAAUGAGAACGGUUAGGGUUAGCCGAGAGAGGGGAAUACGAAAGAGAGGGGAAGUUUCAGUGAGAGGGGUUGCAUUGCGGUGAGAAGGGGGUUCAGUGAGGACAAGGUUCG